AUUGAACGCUGCGGCAGGCUUAACACAUGCAAGUCGAGCGAACGGCGGAGGGGUGCGUAAUGCUUAGGAAUCUGCCUAUUAGUGGGGGACAACAUCCCGAAAGGGAUGCUAAUACCGCAUACUAAUAGACUAGCCUAGUCGGACUAGCUAGGUGGUGGGGUAAAGGCCUACCAUGGCGACGAUCUGUAGCGGGUCCGAGAGGAUGAUUCGCCACACUGGAACUGAGAAACGGCCCAGACUCCUACGGAAGGCAGCAGUGGGGAAUAUGGACAAUGGGGGGAACCCUGAGGCAGCCAUGCCGCGUGUGUGAAGAAGGCCUUCGGUUUGUAAAGCACUUUCAGCGGGGAGGCGUUACCCGCAGAAGAAGCAACGGCUAACUACGUGCCAGCAGCCGCGGUAAUAC
RNAcentral lists this ribosomal RNA (403 nucleotides) under uncultured bacterium. RNAcentral describes it as "partial 16S ribosomal RNA". It matches the Rfam family "Bacterial small subunit ribosomal RNA", at positions 30 to 526 of the family's 1533-position model. The record is from RNAcentral.